UGCCAGCCGCCGCGGUAAUACGGAGGGUGCAAGCGUUGUUCGGAUUUACUGGGUGUAAAGGGCGCGCAGGCGGAUUUGUCAGUCAGGGGUGAAAUCCUACAGCUUAACUGUAGAACUGCCUUUGAUACUGGUUUUCUUGAGUGUAGUUGAGGUGGGCGGAAUAUGUCAUGUAGCGGUGAAAUGCAUAGAUAUGACAUAGAACACCUAUUGCGAAGGCAGCUCACUAAGCUACUACUGACGCUGAGGGACGAAAGCGUGGGGAGCGAACAGGAUUAGAUA
RNAcentral lists this ribosomal RNA (279 nucleotides) under uncultured bacterium. Its description in RNAcentral is "partial 16S ribosomal RNA". It matches the Rfam family "Bacterial small subunit ribosomal RNA", at positions 506 to 784 of the family's 1533-position model. The record is from RNAcentral.